GAGGGUACAGCUCAAGUGGUAGAGCGCGUGCUUAGCAUGCAUGAGGUCCUGGGUUCGAUCCCCAGUACGUCCU
This 73-nucleotide transfer RNA is filed under the name Camelus bactrianus (Bactrian camel). It matches the Rfam family "tRNA". Rfam says of the family: Transfer RNA (tRNA) molecules are approximately 80 nucleotides in length. Their secondary structure includes four short double-helical elements and three loops (D, anti-codon, and T loops). Lineage: Eukaryota; Metazoa; Chordata; Mammalia; Artiodactyla; Camelidae. RNAcentral also lists the same sequence under 2 other names. The record is from Rfam by way of RNAcentral.